CAGCAGCCGCGGUAAUACGUAGGGUCCAAGCGUUAAUCGGAAUUACUGGGCGUAAAGCGUGCGCAGGCGGUUGUGCAAGACCGAUGUGAAAUCCCCGAGCUUAACUUGGGAAUUGCAUUGGUGACUGCACGGCUAGAGUGUGUCAGAGGGGGGUAGAAUUCCACGUGUAGCAGUGAAAUGCGUAGAGAUGUGGAGGAAUACCGAUGGCGAAGGCAGCCCCUGGGAUAACACUGACGCUCAUGCCACGAAAGCGUGGGGAGCAAACAGGAUUAGAUACCCUGGUAGUCCACGCCCUAAACGAUGUCAACUAGUUGUUGGGGAUUCAUUUCCUUAGUAAC
RNAcentral lists this ribosomal RNA (338 nucleotides) under uncultured bacterium. RNAcentral describes it as "bacterial SSU rRNA". It matches the Rfam family "Bacterial small subunit ribosomal RNA", at positions 509 to 847 of the family's 1533-position model. The record is from RNAcentral.